Gopherus evgoodei (Goodes thornscrub tortoise) is the source of this 2795-nucleotide long non-coding RNA. RefSeq lists it as uncharacterized. The record is from RefSeq and is a predicted model, not a curated record. The transcript is spliced from 7 exons. NCBI's taxonomy places the organism in Eukaryota, Metazoa, Chordata, Testudines, Testudinidae.
CUUAAUAGAAAUGAACUCUAAUUUUCUUGAGAAAUUCUCUCACAUCUUGAUGACAUCUACCAAGUCAGUCUCUCCACUCAGGCUCUCGCCAGUGCUUUUGGAAUGUGAGAAGCACACAGAUCACCAUAGUAUCUGACUCUCUCUGAGUUAUGGGAGAAUGUUGUCUCUUCAGAUCCACACUUGAGGAGUCUUGAAAUUGGGCUUGCAGGUGUAAGAAACUUUCACAGUAGUGACUUUUAGAAGGUCUGACCUUGGAUGGAGUGUUUUCAAAAAGGAUAUAAAGAAAGAUGUUCCUCAGCUCUUUCCACUGCUGUCUUCCAACCAACGAUAUUCUGAAGAAAACAGAAGGGUCAGUGUGAAUCUGCAGAGGCAAUAGAUUUGAACAAACAGUAAGGAAAAAACACAAAAUCAGCUUUAAGAAUCUAAAAAUCAGUGAGGUUUUGGAGGAAGAUAUCCUGGUACAAGAAGUACAACUACACAAUCACCAGUGGAUUUUAAUACUGGAAUUCUGAGAACUGGCACCCGGUAAGAAGAAAAUCUGUUUUGAUUACAAAUUGAACACAUGGAGGGCACAACUCCAGGAACAGCUUUUAACCUGAAUUGUCUGGAUCAGUCUGUCAUCAUGGAAGGGCAGUGGGUCUUUCGAGCAGUCCUAGAUAUUGUGGACCAGAUUCUCGUCUUGCCUACAGCAGGUUUCACUGGUGGAUGUAAUUUCAUUAUUUCAAGGGCAUUACACUGAUUAAAUCAAGACUAAGUGCAAGGAGGAUUGGGCCCUUCACAUUUAAUAAAGAACAUUUUAUAUUAAAUGUGUUUCUCUUCUAUAUGAAACUCUUCCAUAAGAAGGAAGCAGAAGAAACAAUAUUAGAAAUGUCAAAUCUCAUCGCCCUGGGUAUAGCUGGAGGAACUCCUGCAGAUCCUAGUGUGUGGUAAGAGUGGUAAUCGAAUUCGUGAAAGUGCUAGAAGUGCUAUGACAUUGUCAUUAGUGAAGAUAACAUAACAGAGAAGCAGUAUAAUGGAGAAGAUGGAAUGUUUGCUGGCUGACUGGAUUGAUGACCUCCAUGAAAAAAAACACCUGUGGGUUUAAGCUUGAUUCAGGAGAAGGCCAAAAGCCUAUAUAAUGAUUUAAAGGCAAGAUAGGGAGACCUCAACAGCAGAAAAGGAGACCUUCAAUGCUAGUCAUGGAUGGUUCCACAGAUUUCAGAAGCGUGCCAGUCUACAUAAUAUAAAAAUCACAGGAGAAGUGGCUCGUGUGAAUGAAGAAGCAGCUGAAACGUUUCCUAUGCAGCUAAACACAAUUGUUUUGGAAGGUGGCUACUCUCCCGAAUAAGUUUAACAUCGAUGAGAUGGGCCUUUACUGGAAGAAGAUGCCAGUGAAGACUUAUAUUUCUCAUGAUGAGAAGACUGCUCUUCAAAGCCUCAAAAGACCACUUAACCCUUCUGCUUGGGGGAAAUGCAGAAGGCGAUUGCAAGUUGAAGCCCUUUUUUGUUUACCACAGUGAAAACCCAAGAGCAAUGAGAUGCAAUAUCAAGUCUUGUCUCCUUGUAAUUCGAAAGUUGAACAGAAAGGCCUGGAUAACAUGCAGUGUUUUCCAUAAGUGGUUUGUAGACCAUGCUGUUCCUGAAUUUAAGGCUUACUGUCAGAAGGAAAAUUUGGCCUUUAAGAUUCUCCUUCUGUUGGAUAACGCAAGUGCCCAUGAACUAGACUACAGAGCCCUCUGCCUGAAUAUAAAGGUCCUAUUUUUGCCUCCCAAAACCACAUCAUUGCUGCAGCCUGUGGACCAGGGUGUAAUGGCCACAUUCAAGGCUUGUUACUUAUGGAGGACAUUCUUCAUGCUGAUUAAGGAAACAGCAGGUGAAGGAAAGCCCAAUGUAGAGGAGUUUUGGAAGUCCAACAACAUCUUGAAAGGCAUGGAAAACAUUGACGCAUCGUGGGAAGAGGUCAUUUCACAAUGUAUGAACUGCAAGUCUCUAGGGCUAUCAAUGAUACAGUGGCUUGCCACAGGGAGAUCUAUCAUUCAAAGAUUCAUGCAGGAGAGCAGAUGUCAAUAAAAUCCUUUUUUAAGACUUCUGCAACCAAAAGCCAGCUACGGAAAAGCCAACCCAAGAAAACCCAGCUGCCACCCCUACCUAAGUUUAGCAUAACUGACACUGUUUUAUAUUACAUUACUGUUCUGUAUUUACUGUAUUAAAAUUUUUUGUGUUUGAACAGUGUUAGUAGGGUUCUAUAUCAUUUUAUUCAAUGUUUUAUCUGUAAAAUGUGUACUGUAUAACCUGUCUUUGUAAAAAGGUACACUGUUUAGGUGAAAAGAGCAUUGUCAUAGGCGAGUGUGGUGAAAUUGCGAAUGCAUCUCCCUCCCCCCUUCCAUUAUUUCUUAUGGGGAAAAAUUCCUCAGUAUCAGUUGUUUCGGUAUCCAUUGCCCUUUUCAAAAAUGCAACCCCAGUGUAUACAGGAGACCCCCUGUACAGCACCCAGCACUCUGAUGGUAUUUAUUAAAUAUUCAGUAUCAUGAAAUCUUUGUCAUAGUGACCAGAAAGGCCCCAAUCAAAUUUAAGCUCAAGCAUCCUGCUGCAACAAACUUACACAAAAGACAUUUGGAUCAAAUUUUGGACUUCUCCCAUCCUGCAGUGAACCUUGGACCUGAGCUUUGAUUCCUAAGAAUGCAGACAGUGCACUUCCAGUGGAACAGGACCUCUUCUUUUCAUGUAGCCUUUGGCAAUAUGUACAGGUAUAAUUAUAGACACAUAAGCUACUCUGUCUGUUCUAGCUGCCAAGAGAGUUGGUGGUGAAGUUUGAA